RNAcentral lists this ribosomal RNA (253 nucleotides) under uncultured bacterium. RNAcentral describes it as "partial 16S ribosomal RNA". It matches the Rfam family "Bacterial small subunit ribosomal RNA", at positions 524 to 776 of the family's 1533-position model. The record is from RNAcentral.
UACGUAGGGGGCAAGCGUUGUCCGGAUUUAUUGGGCGUAAAGAGCGUGUAGGCGGCCCGACAGGUCCGUUGUGAAAACUCGAGGCUCAACCUCGAGACGUCGAUGGAAACCGUCGGGCUAGAGUCCGGAAGAGGAGAGUGGAAUUCCUGGUGUAGCGGUGGAAUGCGCAGAUAUCAGGAGGAACACCGAUGGCGAAGGCAGCUCGCUGGGACGGUACUGACGCUGAGGCGCGAAAGCGUGGGGAGCGAACAGG